This 80-nucleotide transfer RNA is filed under the name Cordylochernes scorpioides. RNAcentral describes it as "tRNA-Thr". Lineage: Eukaryota; Metazoa; Arthropoda; Arachnida; Pseudoscorpiones; Chernetidae. The record is from RNAcentral.
GGGUAGCCUAGUGGUCAUGGCAUCUGCCCGGUAAGCGGAAGGUCGUGGGUUCACUUUUUUUAUUUUAUCCAUUCUGACCA